RNAcentral lists this long non-coding RNA (501 nucleotides) under Suricata suricatta (meerkat). Its description in RNAcentral is "lncRNA (ENSSSUG00005009289.1)". Lineage: Eukaryota; Metazoa; Chordata; Mammalia; Carnivora; Herpestidae. The record is from RNAcentral.
GCUCAAAGGCUGCCCGGCGCGGACGCCCGCACUUCCUGGCACAAGCGGGCUAGCCAGCCGCAGCUGGGGCCGCGGGGCCGGGCUCGCCGCCCUCUCCCUUCUCCCUUCUCCCUUGAGUAAUAGGGGCGGAGCCGGGCGGGCCGGCGCGCGGGGCUCCAGCCCCUCUCUCGGUGGUCACCUGCGGCCGGGCGCAGCAGGUGUCCGGUCUGCCACCCGGCGCUGGGAACUAGGAGCGCUAGCCAGGAGCCGCGGCACUUCGGAGCUUAUUCACAUAAGCAUUCUGGUAUGCCAGGUACCAAGAAUAAGAUCACUGAAGGCAGUAAAACUGAAAUUGGAAGAUUAUCAGCCAAGAAAGACCUACUGGCAAAAGCAGAGUAAGUAUGUUAAGCAUUAUGUGUUGUGAAGAGUUAAUUGGGUUUCAAAUAGGAAACCGGAGACUGGAUCAGUGAAGAAAAUCAUGGUUUGUUUCCCUCAGAUCCUGCUAAUUCCUCCAAACCAGCC